GACGGUACUUAAUGAAUCAGCAUCGGCUAACUCCGUGCCAGCAGCCGCGGUAAUACGGAGGAUGCAAGCGUUAUCCGGAAUCAUUGGGCGUAAAGAGUCCGUAGGUGGUUGGUCAAGUCUGCCGUCAAAGACUGGAGCUCAACUCCAGAAAGGCAGUGGAAACUGAGAAACUAGAGUCUAGGAGGGGUAGAGGGAAUUCCCAGUGUAGCGGUGAAAUGCGUAGAGAUUGGGAAGAACACCGGUGGCGAAAGCGCUCUACUGGACUAGAACUGACACUGAGGGACGAAAGCUAGGGGAGCGAAAGGGAUUAGAUACCCCUGUAGUCCUAGCCGUAAACGAUGGAUACUAGGCGUAGCUCGUAUCGACCCGAGCUGUGCCGAAGCUAACGCGUUAAGUAUCCCGCCUGGGAGUACGCACGCAAGUGUGAAACUCAAAGGAAUUGACGGGGGCCCGCACAAGCGGUGGAGUAUGUGGUUUAAUUCGAUGCAACGCGAAGAACCUUACCAAGGCUUGACAUCCGACGAAUCUGAUUGAAAGGUCAGAGUGCCUUCGGGAGCGUCGUGACAGGUGGUGCAUGGCUGUCGUCAGCUCGUGUCGUGAGAUGUUGGGUUAAGUCCCGCAACGAGCGCAACCCUCGUCCUUAGUUGCCCAUAUUAAGUUAGGAACUCUAGGGAGACUGCCGGGGACAACUCGGAGGAAGGUGGGGAUGACGUCAAGUCAGCAUGCCCCUUACGUCUUGGGCUACACACGUACUACAAUGGUCGGGACAACGAGCAGCGAAGCCGCAAGGUGUAGCGAAUCUCAACAAACCCGGCCUCAGUUCAGAUUGAGGGCUGCAACUCGCCCUCAUGAAGGCGGAAUCGCUAGUAAUCGCAGGUCAGCAUACUGCGGUGAAUCCGUUCCCGGGCCUUGUACACACCGCCCGUCACACCAUGGGAGCUGGCCACGCCCGAAGUCGUUACUCCAACCCUUUUUGGGAGGAGGACGC
Molecule: ribosomal RNA, 988 nt
Filed under: uncultured cyanobacterium
Lineage: Bacteria; Bacillati; Cyanobacteriota
Description: bacterial SSU rRNA
Rfam family: Bacterial small subunit ribosomal RNA
Source: RNAcentral